RNAcentral lists this ribosomal RNA (2580 nucleotides) under Triticum aestivum (bread wheat). RNAcentral's name for it is "partial small subunit ribosomal RNA". Lineage: Eukaryota; Viridiplantae; Streptophyta; Magnoliopsida; Poales; Poaceae. The record is from RNAcentral.
AUGAGGUCGUUGUGGGUUUUGUUUGGGGCGUUCGUAUUGGCAGUCACAGCAGUUCAUGUCGCCGGUCAGCAAGAAGGUUUCCUGAGCAUCGACUGCGGCCUGGAUGCCAAAUUCAGCGGGCGCAAGGACACCCACACAGAUAUCGCCUACGUCUCCGAUGGUCCGUACGUCGACGGCGGGGAGAACCGCAGGGUGGCCGCCGAGUUCGAUACUCCUAGCGCGUCACUCGAGGACCUCCGCACGCUCAGGAGUUUCCCGUCCGGCCUACGGAACUGCUACACGCUCCCCACCAAGAGCGGCGCCAAGUACCUUGUCCGGAUGGUAUUCUUCCACGGGAACUACGACGGCAAGCCAGCCGUGUUCGACCUGCACCUUGGCACCAACUACUGGGAUACGAUGACGAUCCGAAACAUGACUGACACCCAGUACUGGUGGUCCGAGGCGAUCUUCAUCGCGUGGGCGAGCUCGGUGCCGGUCUGCCUGGUGAACACCGGCGGCGGUACGCCGUUCGUCAACACGGUGGAGCUGAGGCCUCUCGGUGCCUCGCUUUACCCGGACCUCACCAUCGACGGCUCCAUGUCCACGUAUGGAAGGAUAAAUACAGGGGGGAACUUUACCAGGUUUCCUGACGAUCCAUACGACCGCUACUGGGGUUUGAGAACCAUGUCGUCAUGGGCAAAACUUUCCACCAAAGAGACCAUCAAGCAGGAUGACGUGUUCGUGGUACCCAUCCCCAUUCUUCAGACAGUCGUCGCUCCUAUCAACAAUGGCACGGUGCUACACGUCAAUACAUGGGUAUCAUACAAAACAUCAUCCGAGUUUAAGUUCAUCCUACACUUCGCCGACAUUCAAAACGCCCAGCUCCGGCUGUUCGACAUCUACAUGAACAACGACGAGUGGUAUCCGAAUUACAGCCCCCCGUACCUGGCCGCUGGUCAUGUGCGUAAUACUGAAUGGUAUAAGACCACGGACGGCCAGUACAAUAUCACUCUUGCAGCCACCAAUACAUCCAUGCUGCCUCCGAUGCUCAAUGCAUACGAGGGUUACCUGCGCAUCCCCCACGAUACUCCGAGGACGUUCUCGGAAGACUUUGACGCAAUGAUGGCUAUCAAACUUGAGUACGGAGUAAGGAAAAAUUGGAUGGGUGAUCCAUGUUUUCCGGAGAAAUACCGAUGGAAUGGCGUGAAGUGUAGCGACGUAACUGAUAACACUACGAGGAUAAUAUCUCUUGAUCUGUCCAACAACAACAUGAGUGGAUUGGUAUCUGAUAACUUCACAUUGCUCACAGAACUCCGGUUUCUAGAUUUGUCUGGCAACAAUCUGAACGGACCAAUUCCAUAUUCCCUUUGUAAAAGGAAUCCAGGAUCACUCGUUUUCAGAUACGAGUCCGGUGAAGAUAUGUGCAACAAAACAAUAAGUUCGACUCCAUCAACAAAUAGAACAACUAUAAUUUCUAUUUCGGUAGUGGUUCCAUUGGUGGUAGUGGUUGUACUUGUUCUUUCGUAUUUGAUCUGGAGAGGGAAGAAAAAGCCUAAAUUUUCUAUACAGGAUUCUCCUAGAGAGCAAGAACUCGAGAGUGCCCUCAGAAGUACAAAAAGUCAGGGUGGUCACCUGCAAAAUACCGAGAAUCGACGAUUCACAUACAAGGAUCUGGAGAAGUUUACAAAUAAAUUCCAACGGUCCAUUGGGAAAGGAGGUUUUGGGCUCGUGUACUACGGCCGUUUAGAAGACAAUACUGAGGUUGCUGUCAAGAUGCGUUCUGAAUCAUCCUCGCAUGGGCUUGACGAGUUCUUAGCGGAGGUCAAUAGCUUGACAAAGGUGCAUCACAGGAAUCUAGUUUCUUUGGUUGGUUACUGCUGGGAGAAGGAGCAUUUGGCGCUGGUUUAUGAGUACAUGUCCCAGGGAAAUCUUUGUGACCAUCUAAGAGGGAAAAAUGGUGCCGAUGAACCCUUGAGUUGGGCGACACGUGUACGAGUUGUGCUCGAAGCAGCACAAGGCUUGGAUUAUCUGCACAAGGGAUGUAGCUUGCCAAUAAUUCACCGGGAUGUGAAAACCAACAACAUCCUCAUAGGUCAAAACCUACAGGCUAAAAUAGCUGAUUUUGGACUUUGCAAGACCUAUCUUAGCGACAUGCAGACCCACAUAUCAACCAAUGCGGCUGGGACAGCAGGUUACAUGGACCCCGAGUACUAUCACACUGGCUGGCUCAGUGAGAGCAGUGAUGUGUAUAGCUUCGGUGUAGUUCUCCUUGAGGUGGCCACCGGUGAGCCUCCAGUACUGCCGGGCCAUGGCCACAUUGUUCAGCGUGUGAAGCAGAAGAUUGCCACCGGUAACGUUACCACAGUGGCUGAUGCCCAUCUUAGAGGUGAAUAUGAUGUCAACUCCAUGUGGAAACUUGUCGACACCGCCAUGGCGUGCACGGCGGAUGCUGCAGUUCGCAGGCCGACAAUGGCCGCUGUGGUAGCGCAACUGAAAGAGAGCCUUGCGUUGGAGGAAGCUCGUGAGGACAGUAGCGUCAUAGGGAGCAUCGCGAGUACUACUGGUGCCCCGAUGCCUGAGUUUGGACCAUCGGCAAGAUGA